UAUUUAUAUAUUCAAUUUACUCACAAUAACAUUAUAAGUCGAAAGAUAUAAGAACGAUCGAGAAAAGAAAGGAAAAAGUCUAGAGGACGACGUGCCAUUCAGCACAUGUUUACAGACGAGUGUCGCCAUCUUCUAAAUAUUUAUAGCACACGACGAUGUGGUGUUUCGGAGAAGAAUUAAAAAAUGUCGAAGUCAUUACAUAAAAGAUUAUGAAGUUUUUGUUGAAUAUUGCUGAAUAAUGCUGUAACUUAAAAUUUUAUUUGUAAAAUACAAAAUAUGUGAAUUAAAACAUAACAUCGGGAUAUUCUAAUCCAUAAUUUUCAAGUAUUUAUAAAUUUAGAGUAUUAAAAUAAAAUGUCUUCAACAAGUAAAUUAGAUACAGUCUAUAGAAGAAUAUUACUAACAAAAUUUUUUACAAAAGGAUGGGGAAAAACAGAAAAUUUUAAAAGGUAAUUU
This is a long non-coding RNA of Centruroides sculpturatus (bark scorpion), 456 nucleotides long. RefSeq lists it as uncharacterized. The record is from RefSeq and is a predicted model, not a curated record. The transcript has 3 exons. NCBI's taxonomy places the organism in Eukaryota, Metazoa, Arthropoda, Arachnida, Scorpiones, Buthidae.